Small nuclear RNA from Meriones unguiculatus (Mongolian gerbil), 102 nucleotides. The record is from Ensembl. NCBI's taxonomy places the organism in Eukaryota, Metazoa, Chordata, Mammalia, Rodentia, Muridae.
GCUCGCUUCGGCAGCACAUAUAAAAUUGGAAUGAUACAGAGAAGAUAAGCAUGGCCCCUGUGUAAGGAUGACAUGCAAAUUCGUGAAGCAUUCCAAAUCUUA